CUGGAGGACUAGACAGGGAAAUAAGAAGACCUUGGACACUUGUUGGUUGUAUGGCCCUGGGCGAAUCUCUUUCCCGCUGUUUGCCUUAGUUUCCUCAUCUAUAAAAUGGGGAUAAUAAUAGCACCUAUGGACCAGGAUCAAUGAAGUCAUGUUUGAAAAGCACUUUGCCGCCCUCUGGGCUCUCCCUGAGCGCUCGGCCUGUUAGCAAGCGUGGCCAUUCCUGAUGGUCAUUCAGCCAUUCCUUGUGGCCAUUCCUUGUGGUUGUUCCUCAUGGCCGUUCCUCAUGGUCAUUCCUCAUGGCCGUUCCUCGCAUCCCAUUUGAAGGUGGCUGCCUAGGAAGCGAGCCUCCUCCUCUCCCCUGGAGGCUGGAAGGGCCGGACUUGGGGGCCCCCUGAAGCUCUGAGGUUCUAGGUUUGGGGUGCAGCUGGCCUCCAUCCCGAGCCUCAGGAGCUCAGGGCUUCCUUUGCCGGCCUGUUGGCACAGGCCCACAUGGGGGCUCGACAGAUAGUGGCUGUUUGAUUGAUUCUCCUCACCAGAGGCCCUCAUGCCCAGGCUGGGCAGCCUCUUGUCCAGUCCCAAGUCCGGGAUACACUCAGCUCUGUUCUGCAUCAGCUCUCUGCCGAUGACUCUGGAUCCCCAGAUGGAGAGGAGAGAGCCCUGGGCCAGCAGGUGGGGGACCUGGGCUCUCCCCCUGACUCACCAUGUGACCUUGGGGAAGUCACUUGCCCUCUGUGGACCCCAGCGUCCCUGCCUUAAAAGUGGCCACACUGCAGGAGAACUGGAGAGCAUCAAGGGAGGGAGUGUGACCCCAGAGGAAUGUGGAGUCCAGGUUCUAGGGGACAAGGGAUCUGAGGAUGGUUCUCCAACCAUCACGUCUGCAUCAGAGGCCCCCUGGAUGUUGAGGAAAGAGAGCCGGGCUCUACCCUUGCUUCAUUGCGCAACCUUGGCUCCUCCAUCUCCAGACUGCCCUCUGCCCCCAGAGGAGCAUGGAAUGGCUGCCAGACUCCUUCCAGCCAGGGCCCAGCUGGUGGAGGUGAUGAGAUGUGCCCACUGCCUGCUUGGUGUUUCAGGAGACAGUGACAUUCAAGGAUGUGUCUGUGGACUUCACCCUCGAGGAGUGGGGACACCUCGGCCCUGCUAGAGGGAGCUCUACAGGGAGGUGAUGCUGGAGAACUACAGGAACCUGGUCUCCCUGGGUGAGGAAGCCUUCAUCUGGGGCCUCAGAGUGGUGGGGAUCCCAAAUCAGAGCCUCUUCCUUGGACCCAGAUCCUGGCAGUGUCCGCUCCCCUUCCCAGCCCCGCAUGAUCUCCUCCCUUCAGGGCUCUUCACACCACGGGCUGCAUCUCCCUUUCCCCAAGACUAAGGAGCUCAGGAUUCCAUUAGUAGACACCCCGCCUCCCCCCCCCCACCAAAAUACUCGGCCACAUCCACUGUCCCUCUCUAGGAGCCGAGUGCCAAAGUGCCAAACCAAAGCUAAUCUCCCAGUUGGAGCAAAGCAGAGAGUCGUGGCUGUUGGAAGAAGAUCCGCAUGGCCUCUGUCCAGGUGAGCAGAGCAGAAGGGAGGUAUCAGUUGUGAGCUCCUUGAGGGCGGAGAGUGACCAACGGUGUCCAAGGCUGCAGAGAGGCCGAGGAGAAUGAGGACUGACGGGGCAGCAAAGAGACCAUCGGUAACUUUGGAUGGAACAGUUUGGGUGGAAUGAUGAGGUUGGACACAGGCCGUAAGGGGUGAAGGAGAGAGUGAGAGGAGAGAAAGUGGAGGCCCUGACUGUAGGCGGCCUUCUGGGGGAGUUAGCACCAAAGGGCAGAAGGGUUAGCAGGGAUGGAAGGAUCAAGGGAGGGUUUCUUCAGGAUAGCAGAACCAUGGGCGUGUUUGUAGGCAGAAGGGAUGGGCAGGUAGAUGGGAGAGACAGAAAAGAAGUGAAAGAGAGUUUCCUAUCUGCUCCAUCGCCUGUGAUGCGUGUGCCCCAACACCUCUUCCUGUCGAAGCCCAAUUCAAGUGUCUCCUUUACCAGAGGCUGUUCACCUGAGCCCCUCCUCCUCAGCUCAGUGACUGGCUCCCCUCACUCCCCUCACCCUUAUUCGGCACGCUGGUUUAAUGGUUAUUUGUCUUCUCUCUGACUCUGAACCAACUGAGAGCAGGC
This 2141-nucleotide long non-coding RNA is filed under the name Phascolarctos cinereus (koala). RNAcentral's name for it is "lncRNA (ENSPCIG00000009643.2)". The record is from RNAcentral. Lineage: Eukaryota; Metazoa; Chordata; Mammalia; Diprotodontia; Phascolarctidae.